UACGAAGGGGGCUAGCGUUGUUCGGAAUCACUGGGCGUAAAGCGCACGCAGGCGGAUCGUUAAGUCAGGGGUGAAAUGCCGAGGCUCAACCUCGGAACUGCCUUUGAUACUGGCGAUCUUGGAGUCCGGGAGAGGUGAGUGGAACUCCGAGUGUAGAGGUGAAAUUCGUAGAUAUUCGGAAGAACACCAGUGGCGAAGGCGGGUCUCUGGGCAAUAACUGACGCUGAGGAGCGAAAGUGGUGGGAGCGAACAGG
RNAcentral lists this ribosomal RNA (254 nucleotides) under uncultured bacterium. RNAcentral describes it as "partial 16S ribosomal RNA". It matches the Rfam family "Bacterial small subunit ribosomal RNA", at positions 524 to 776 of the family's 1533-position model. The record is from RNAcentral.